AUUGAACGCUGGCGGCAUGCCUAACACAUGCAAGUCGAACGGCAGCACAGCCCGCAAGGGUGGGUGGCGAGUGGCGGACGGGUGAGGAAUACAUGGGAAUCUACCCUGUCGUGGGGGGUAACGUAGGGAAACUUACGCUAAUACCGCAUACGACCUCCGGGUGAAAGCGGCGGACCGCAAGGCGUCGCGCGACUGGAUGAGCCCAUGUCGGAUUAGCUAGUUGGCGGGGUAAAGGCCCACCAAGGCGACGAUCCGUAGCUGGUCUGAGAGGAUGAUCAGCCACACUGGAACUGAGACACGGUCCAGACUCCUACGGGAGGCAGCAGUGGGGAAUAUUGGACAAUGGGCGCAAGCCUGAUCCAGCAAUGCCGCGUGGGUGAAGAAGGCCUUCGGGUUGUAAAGCCCUUUUGUACGGGAAGAAAUCCUGUCGGUUAAUACCCGGCGGGGAUGACGGUACCGUAAGAAUAAGCACCGGCUAACUUCGUGCCAGCAGCCGCCGCCG
This 502-nucleotide ribosomal RNA is filed under the name uncultured bacterium. Its description in RNAcentral is "partial 16S ribosomal RNA". It matches the Rfam family "Bacterial small subunit ribosomal RNA", at positions 29 to 523 of the family's 1533-position model. The record is from RNAcentral.